GACGAACGCUGGCGGCGUGCUUAACACAUGCAAGUCGAACGGAAAGGCCCUGCUUUUGUGGGGUGCUCGAGUGGCGAACGGGUGAGUAACACGUGAGUAACCUGCCCUUGACUUUGGGAUAACUUCAGGAAACUGGGGCUAAUACCGGAUAGGAGCUCCUGCUGCAUGGUGGGGGUUGGAAAGUUUCGGCGGUUGGGGAUGGACUCGCGGCUUAUCAGCUUGUUGGUGGGGUAGUGGCUUACCAAGGCUUUGACGGGUAGCCGGCCUGAGGGGGUGACCGGCCACAUUGGGACUGAGAUACGGCCCAGACUCCUACGGGAGGCAGCAGUGGGGAAUAUUGCACAAUGGGCGGAAGCCUGAUGCAGUAACGCCGCGUGCGGGAUGACGGCCUUCGGGUUGUAAACCGCUUUCGCCUGUGACGAAGCGUGAGUGACGGUAAUGGGUAAAGAAGCACCGGCUAACUACGUG
Molecule: ribosomal RNA, 468 nt
Filed under: uncultured bacterium
Lineage: Bacteria
Description: partial 16S ribosomal RNA
Rfam family: Bacterial small subunit ribosomal RNA
Source: RNAcentral